UAAGAUAGUGAUGAAAAGCUUAUGAAAUUUACAUUGAUGUACAAAUUACGAAAAAUGUUAAUGAGAUAAAGUUGAUGUCAGGUUGUACGUCCCCUCUUAAGUUUAAAUUUUUAUACUAUUUUCAUAUUAAUAAAUAUUUUACCACGCGAUGGUUUGAGAGAAAUAAAAAACGAAAAGACAAGAGGGUCGUAUGGAGAACUGGGUAAGAAAUCAGAAUAGAGUCCGACCAUAUCAACAAAGCAAGGAAUUAUUGUAUGAUAUUAUACAUAAUGGCUAAGAUCAAAGAAAAAGUAGUGUAAUAACCUCAAACUCUAGGAUAAGAGUGGCGAAAGCCAACCAUCCAAUACUCGACUAGACUAGGAAAGCAAAUUCUGUUCAAUCUAACGUACCGCACAUGGAACUGUUAUCAGUUGGACUCGGGAUUCGGACCGCUAGGGACUUCAUGUGCAGCUGUCUUAAAUUCUUGAUUUGUGGUUUCUCUUGGAUGCAACUUCAUGGUGAAUUGCUUAUUUGGUGUAGAGUUCAGAAGGAUUCUUCCUGUUGAUGCUAAGGGACCCUCUAGUGUCACUGAAAAGUCGAGACGACGAGCCGAGGCCGGAGAAAUCAAGAUUAGUAGAAGAAAAAUGGAAACUUUUGCGAGAAUUUGCCAGAGUUUGUGAGCAUUUUUGCUGGUUUUUGCCAUGAAAAAGUAGCCAAGAUAAUCCAACCCCCACUACCCUCAGAAUUGAAAUCAAUAUCCAUGUACAAACUGGAUUUCUCCAAGUUUGAAACAAUGGAAAUACAAGAGAACAAGCAAAGAAAGAACAAUUUUUUUUAAUAGCUUCCUUUGUAAGAGAUUUAUAAAGAAGAUCACGUGACUACUUUUUGUAAACUUGACGUGUUGUCCCUCUCUCAUUCUUUU
Molecule: long non-coding RNA, 901 nt
Filed under: Olea europaea subsp. europaea
Lineage: Eukaryota; Viridiplantae; Streptophyta; Magnoliopsida; Lamiales; Oleaceae
Source: RNAcentral